UGGCAGACGGGUGAGUAAUGUAUAGGAAUCUACCUAGUAGUACGGAAUAAUUGUUGGAAACGGCAACUAAUACCGUAUACGCCCUACGGGGGAAAAAUUUAUUGCUAUUAGAUGAGCCUAUAUUAGAUUAGUUAGUUGGUGAGGUAAAGGCUUACCAAGACAAUGAUCUAUAGCUGAUCUGAGAGGAUGAUCAGCCACACUGGAACUGAGAUACGGUCCAGACUCCUACGGGAGGCAGCAGUGGGGAAUAUUGGACAAUGGGCGAAAGCCUGAUCCAGCCAUGCCGCAUGAGUGAAGAAGGCCUUCGGGUUGUAAAGCUCUUUUAGUGAGGAAGAUAAUGACGGUACUCACAGAAGAAGUCCUGGCUAACUCCGUGCCAGCAGCCGCGGUAAUACGGAGAGGGCUAGCGUUAUUCGGAAUCAUUGGGCGUAAAGGGCGCGUAGGCGGGUUAGUAAGUUAAAAGUGAAAUCCCAAGGCUCAACCUUGGAACUGCUUUUAAAACUGCUAGUCUAGAGAUUGAAAGAGGAUAGAGGAAUUCCUAGUGUAGAGAUGAAAUUCGUAAAUAUUAGGAGGAACACCAGUGGCGAANGCGUCUAUCUGGUUCAAAUCUGACGCUGAGGCGCGAAGGCGUGGGGAGCAAACAGGAUUAGAUACCCUGGUAGUCCACGCUGUAAACGAUGAAUGUUAAAUAUGGGAAGUUUACUUUCUGUAUUAUAGCUNACGCGUUAAACAUUCCGCCUGGGGNCUA
Molecule: ribosomal RNA, 748 nt
Filed under: uncultured Hyphomicrobiales bacterium
Lineage: Bacteria; Pseudomonadati; Pseudomonadota; Alphaproteobacteria; Hyphomicrobiales
Description: bacterial SSU rRNA
Rfam family: Bacterial small subunit ribosomal RNA
Source: RNAcentral